GAUGAACGCUGGCGGAGUGCCUAACACAUGCAAGUCGAGCGGCAGCGCGAGUAGUUUACUACUUGGCGGCGAGCGGCGGACGGCUGAGUAACGCGUGGGAACAUGCCCCAAAGUGAGGAAUAACUGCCCGAAAGGGUAGCUAAUGCCGCAUACGAUCUUCGGAUUAAAGGAUUUAUCCGCUUUGGGAGUGGCCUGCGUACGAUUAGAUAGUUGGUGAGGUAAUGGCUCACCAAGUCUACGAUCGUUAACUGGUUUGAGAGGAUGAUCAGUCAGACUGGAACUGAGACACGGUCCAGACUCCUACGGGAGGCAGCAGUGAGGAAUCUUCCACAAUGGACGAAAGUCUGAUGGAGCAACUCCGCGUGCAGGAUGAAGGCCUUCGGUCGUAACU
RNAcentral lists this ribosomal RNA (391 nucleotides) under uncultured bacterium. Its description in RNAcentral is "bacterial SSU rRNA". It matches the Rfam family "Bacterial small subunit ribosomal RNA", at positions 28 to 431 of the family's 1533-position model. The record is from RNAcentral.